Molecule: unclassified non-coding RNA, 299 nt
Filed under: Hevea brasiliensis (rubber tree)
Lineage: Eukaryota; Viridiplantae; Streptophyta; Magnoliopsida; Malpighiales; Euphorbiaceae
Source: RNAcentral
CUCUACAACUGGAGAAGGAGAAAGAGCAAAAGGAGAAGUAGCCUGGUAUAAUAUUUUGGUAAGGGUGUUAAAUAAAGAGAAGGAGAAUACUUGGCGAGUGUGUAAGUGGGCAGUGGGGUUAAAGUAACAAAGCACUUAAACCCAUGAACCAUGAAGAAGGAGAGAGAGAGAGGUUAAUCGAAUCCAAGCAUUGGGAUGUCCGUUUCUGAAGAGUAUUUAAGAUAAGAAAGUGAGUGUUGGGGCCGUCGCGUCGUUGUAAGAGUAAAGUCGUAUGAUCCUCUUCUCUCUUACUACCUUCC